UGAUGAUACACAACUGGCUGUGCGCAACUGCAUGGACUAAGAUGUACCAUAUUUAAUGUGUAUAUGUUACAGUACAAAUACUACUUUCACUAGUUGCCAUAAAAUGCAACGAAGAGAUUUUUGUUAAUGCUGUUCUACAUUUUGUUAUACUU
Molecule: long non-coding RNA, 152 nt
Organism: Oncorhynchus gorbuscha (pink salmon)
Lineage: Eukaryota; Metazoa; Chordata; Actinopteri; Salmoniformes; Salmonidae
Exons: 3
Source: RefSeq, a predicted model, not a curated record